CUAAUUUGAAUUUGAAAGAGCCAUCUUCGCCGCGCCGUUAAUUUGCACCGCACUUUUAUCGAGUGCUAGUGCGAUAAAGAAGGGUAAAGAAGGCCGUUUUAAUAAUAAUUCAACCACUGAAAUCACACGGACCAGAUUUGGACAAUGACUUGAAAGCUAAGACAUUCGCAGUAGGCUCUACAGGAGAGAGGGAGACCCAAAACCACCUGGAGUCAUACUGAGCCUCGAGGAGGAGAUGAAGUCAGUGAACAUGACCUGGGGUACCGGUAGUUUCCAGAAGAAGGCCCAGCUCAGAACCGCCAGGACUCAGGAGUGGAGAUCCGAAUACUUCGUUGCUGCCCUCCAUAUGAGGAGGCUGUAAGUUAGAUACAUCGCAUCUACCAGCAAAGAACGUGUGCCAGUACAGGGAAGGAAUGUACCUGUCGCACGUGAACUCUUCAGAGGCAGUGAGGACAACAAGAUCUGCAAGCAAGUGAUCCUUUUUAUACAUCGCAUCUACCAGCAAAGAAUGUGUGCCAGUAGAGGAAAGGAAUGUACCUGUCGCACGUGAACUCUUCAGAGGCAGUGAGGACAAGAUCUGCAAGCAAGUGAUCCUUUUUAUACAUCGCAUCUACCAGCAAAGAUCAAGUGCCACUACAGGAAAGGAAGGUACCUGUUUCACGUUUCCUCUUCAGAGCCAGUGAGGGCCCCAAGAUCUCAAUAAAUAAUAAUUAAAAAAAGACUCCUUUAUCAUUCCUUUAAAAAUAGUACAUAUUAUUUAUUGAAGGUAAAUGCUUAGAUGCAUUAUAUUCAAAUUUUGUCUCCAAGCUAGCAUGUAAAAAUUGGAUUGACUACAUAUUUACUGUGUAAGUUAAUGAUCUUUGCUGACACAUAAUACAAGAAUUAUACGCAGCAUGUUACAGUUUGUAACAUAAUUUUCUUUCAUUAAAUUCCUAGUUUAAAUACCAUAUAGAUGUUUUUUGUGACUUUUGUCAUUCUCUGAUGUUUUUUGGUACAGAUUUCAAGAGACUGAGGGAUUGAUUUACCAGAGCAAGUUUACAGUCCAAUCCUGUUAUAUUGUGCAUGUGGAAAUUAACAAGGUUUCAAUACAAUGCUACAAAUUUACCGUGAUUCAUUUCAUCAGUCCUAUGUGCAAGGAUAAUUAUUUCACUUGUCCAUGCACAUUGUUAUAACAGGAGUGGACAUUCAAUGUAAAGAUAAUUGAAGAUAGUUUAUAAUUGAAAUAACCGCCU
Molecule: long non-coding RNA, 1232 nt
Organism: Lytechinus pictus (painted urchin)
Lineage: Eukaryota; Metazoa; Echinodermata; Echinoidea; Temnopleuroida; Toxopneustidae
Exons: 5
Source: RefSeq, a predicted model, not a curated record